GCAGCGAUGGCCGAGUAGUUAACGCGUUGGACUUAAGUUCCAAUGGACAGACGUCCGCGUGGGUUCGAACCCCACUUGCUGCA
Molecule: non-coding RNA, 83 nt
Organism: Enterobius vermicularis (human pinworm)
Lineage: Eukaryota; Metazoa; Nematoda; Chromadorea; Rhabditida; Oxyuridae
Source: Rfam